GAUGAACGCUAGCCACAGGCUUAACACAUGCAAGUCGAGGGGAAACGAUAUUGGAAGCUUGCUUCCGAUAGGCGUCGACCGGCGCACGGGUGAGUAACGCGUAUCCAACCUGCCCACCACUUGGGGAUAACCUUGCGAAAGUAAGACUAAUACCCAAUGAUAUCCCACGAAGGCAUCCGAAUGGGAUUAAAGAUUUAUCGGUGAUGGAUGGGGAUGCGUCUGAUUAGCUUGUUGGCGGGGUAACGGCCCACCAAGGCGACGAUCAGUAGGGGUUCUGAGAGGAAGGUCCCCCCACAUUGGAACUGAGACACGGUCCAAACUCCUACGGGAGGCAGCAGUGAGGAAUAUUGGUCAAUGGGGCGAGAGCCUGAACCAGCCAAGUAGCGUGCAGGAAGACGGCCCUAUGGGUUGUAAACUGCUUUAUAAGGGAAUAAAGUGAGUCUCGUGAGACUUUUUGCAUGUACCUUAUGAAUAAGGACCGGCUAAUUCCGUGCCAGCGG
Molecule: ribosomal RNA, 500 nt
Filed under: uncultured bacterium
Lineage: Bacteria
Description: bacterial SSU rRNA
Rfam family: Bacterial small subunit ribosomal RNA
Source: RNAcentral